CCUACGGGAGGCAGCAGUGGGGAAUUUUGGACAAUGGGCGCAAGCCUGAUCCAGCAAUGCCGCGUGAGUGAAGAAGGCCUUCGGGUUGUAAAGCUCUUUUGUCAGGGAAGAAACGGUGGGGGCUAAUAUCUCCUACUAAUGACGGUACCUGAAGAAUAAGCACCGGCUAACUACGUGCCAGCAGCCGCGGUAAUACGUAGGGUGCAAGCGUUAAUCGGAAUUACUGGGCGUAAAGCGUGCGCAGGCGGUUUUGUAAGUCUGUCGUGAAAGCCCCGGGCUCAACCUGGGAAUUGCGAUGGAGACUGCAAGGCUUGAAUCUGGCAGAGGGGGGUAGAAUUCCACGUGUAGCAGUGAAAUGCGUAGAGAUGUGGAGGAACACCGAUGGCGAAGGCAGCCCCCUGGGUCAAGAUUGACGCUCAUGCACGAAAGCGUGGGGAGCAAACAGGAUUAGAUACCCUGGUAGUCCACGCCCUAAACGAUGUCUACUAGUUGUCGGGUUUUAAUUAACUUGGUAACGCAGCUAACGCGUGAAGUAGACCGCCUGGGGAUACGGUCGCAAGNUUUAAAACCNGAAAGAUUGACGNUGAGACGNGCGAGACGACGACGAGGGAGAGG
This 615-nucleotide ribosomal RNA is filed under the name uncultured bacterium. RNAcentral's name for it is "bacterial SSU rRNA". It matches the Rfam family "Bacterial small subunit ribosomal RNA", at positions 338 to 947 of the family's 1533-position model. The record is from RNAcentral.